Jatropha curcas is the source of this 2206-nucleotide non-coding RNA. The record is from RefSeq and is a predicted model, not a curated record. Lineage: Eukaryota; Viridiplantae; Streptophyta; Magnoliopsida; Malpighiales; Euphorbiaceae.
ACAAGACAGCAGUUGUUUUUUUCCUACUUAAGUGAUGCAUGUAUAUUAUCUUACUGAUUCCUGAAGCUUUGAAUCUGGAUUUGUCAAAUACUGAACUAGCAUCAUCUUGGAACUAACUUGUGGAAUUGUCAAAUGGUGCCUGUUGGCAUUAAAUUAAAUUCAGCCAUAUAUGUGCUUCACCAAUGUUUGAUGCCAAAAACUGGAAAUAUUUCCAUGCCUAAUCGCUUGAAAUUGUAUCAAAUGACUUUAUAUUGAUAGUCAUAAAGAAAGAUCUCUCUAUGUGCAUGUGGAGGGGGUUAUGAUCAAAUUCAUUCUGUGCUACUUUAUGCUGUAGACUAUGAGAAACUUCACAAUCUUUAAGUCAAGCUGCCCAACUAGACCCAUGUUUUUAUUAAAUUGAACUGUUAAGUAUUUCUCUAUAUAGUUAUUUCCUUCAAGACUUCUGCAAAAAAUCUGACAGACUGUUUGUGAAGCUACUUUCUCAUUUUGCUUCGUCUUCUCACAUGUGAAUUAUGUUAGGAAAAGAUAGUCUUUGUUGCAGUUAAAGGUGAUUUGGAGUGUAGAAGUGAGUAAAUUAAGUACAAUUGAUGUACCUAUAUAGAGAGUCUGGGGGCAUACUGUGAUUAUGUCACUGAGCGUCUGUCAAAUAGUGUUGUCUAGAAAUGGAAAUCACUUGCUUGGUGUUUGUAAGUGUAUAAAAGGGCAUUUGAGAUAGGUAGAUAUGAUAUGAGUCAUUUGAAAGGGUAGAGUUGACUCGGUGAAAAAAGGUUCUAGAUCUUCUCUUCCCAGAACCUUGUUUUCUACUGGUGGAAACUUUUUGUGGGGUAGCAUUCUCUGUAGCUGCAUGAGAAGGGCAUGCUGAGCUAUUGGUAGGAACAUAAGAAGUGAUAGCCACUAGAAAGAAUGUUAUUUAAUGUAAUUCACAUAGUACAUUACAUUUAUCUAUUUGUAUUUUCAAGACUCUUAAUCAGAAAGAAUUUGUCUCGAGUUAGAAGAGCAAAUAUGUAAUACAAUCUUGUUUCAUGUGCUUGUGAUGAGAUCCUUAUACCAGUUAUUGGUAAUAAGUUGAUAGAAUGGGGAGAGAGGAUGUUAUUCAAUAUCUAAGAGAUGAGUGAAUAAGAUGCUAGAUUACAAACAGUAACUUUGGACAUUAUGCCAUGUUCUUCAAUAUUUUUCUAGUGACAAACAGGAGGAAAAUAAUAAGAGAACCAGAAAUGUUGAGAUUGGCAGAUCUUACAUGACAUGGAUAAUGAAUUUAUCUAAUUGUUUUGCCAAUAUUGAGCUGAACAAAGUAAAAUUUGCCAAUAUUUAACUUGAUUCCAGACAGAUUGAUUUGCCAGUAAGCAAAAUAAGGUCAAUUCUUUGUUGUCCAACUCACAUCUGGGGACUUAUCCUCACCAAUUUUUGCUUUGUUAAGUGUGAACUGGCUUGGGCUAUACGGAAUUGCCUUUUUAGCAUUUGUGAGGAGCAGUGAGUGUGCUUAGAGUCAUUGGAAAUUUUGUUGGUUUAACCUCUAGAGGGUUUUGUGGCGGGAAAAUUGCCAAUGUUUUUGGAAUUGUGCCUUCUGAAGCUCUUAUAGGCAUCCUUUAAAGGUUAUCCAAUUUGAUUGGAAGGCAUUCAGUUUUAGCUUAAGCUUUAUGUUUUCUCCUUGUUUUUAAGUUAUAGGAGAUUUCUUGUCCGUUAUAGCAAACACUCAUUUCUUUCUUUAUUAAUAAUAAUUGUCUUAUCUAAACAAAAGACUGAACAUUUGCUGUCUUCUUUAUGCAGUUCAAGAGGAGAAUCUGGCUUCAGAAUCAGUAAAUUAAACAGGAGGUGGACUAGAUUUUUUAAUCAGGCCUUUUGUUUAUAAGGGAUGGUUAAUAACUGCAUUUGAACUUUGUCCUUCAAACUAAUGCCUCUACAGAGUCUUCAAUGGCCAUCCCAAAUACUGCUGCUGCAUAUUUUGACAUGUUGUGAACUUACAGUGGGAGCAGUUCCUUGAAAGCUUCUUCGCUGCUUCAAGCUAAAGCUAGGUGGUUUUCAUUGUUGUGUUCUAAAUUAAAGAAAAGUUGCAGAUGGUGUUUAAAUACAUGUACUUUAUGAUGAUUUCUUACUUUCUACAGAAUUGAGUGUUCAAAAGUGAAAUUGUAUAUAAUUGUAUUUUGUGUAGUAAUAUGCUCCUUUCAUUCAAUGGCUAAGCUACACAUCACAAGUUUUUCUCACCUUC